CGCAACGAGAUCUCUCGCUGUUGAACGAGGUGUGUUUUGUUUGGGUUUGGAAUAAAAACCCCACAGGAUGGUAGAUCUCCAGGAACAUGGUUGGUUACCACUGGGCUAAAGACACGUCUUUGACUUUGAGACAAUGUCUUUUGUGCACGGAGGCCCUGGAGCGCCAUUCCCGAAACCGUAUCCGCGCGCAGGUGGCAAACUGGCUUUUUGAAAGCGGGCGUACUGAGACCGCUCCUCGCGCGGAGGCGGUUGGCGGGGAAUUGGGAGUUCACCGAGGUUAUCUGAAGGCGUAGAUGAGCCCGCGUUGCGGUCUAGACAAGCUCUGGCUGGUUUCCACCCUGGCAACCCAGGAGACCGUGAACGCCUUCCCUAAUGGUGGCCGCCUCACCUAGCAACGCACACAGACUACAGCUCCAGUGACCUGCCGGGUGUUGCAGACGCAUGAUUUACAAUGGAUACAGCACAGAGGGGAACAAAUCUACCGUGCGCCUAUACCAACAGCGCGGACACAGGACACUUACCCCAAAUAAUCAAAGCUGUUCUGUUAUGGGCCAGAGCGCACGAGGAAUGCGUUUAGUCGCGAUGCCUCGAGACAGCGCGUGUGUGACACCUCAUCUCCAUCGCCCCGCGCCUCGCUGCCGCAGCAAUUUAACCAACCGGUUCCUCGGAAUGACAGGUUGGAGCUUCGUGUGCGCGAGGAGGUAAGGGGUGAGUCAGGACGAGCGUGACCGCAAAAACCGCGGCCAGGGACGAGGUGGCGACUGCACCUGGCUGCCGAGGGGUGUGACAGUGAGUGCUGGGGUCCUGGGUGCGCCCGUUUAUAAUCUCUCAGAUUAUCCGAAAAAAGUCAGAGUGACAAAAAGCGUCUGCAGCUCUUAAACGUUGAAGAAAUAUCCGAAACCGGGACGCGGGCCAGAUAUCGACGAAAGUGCUUUUAUGAAAAAUAUUGGUCAGAGGAGCCCCUGGUGAUGAAUGACCAUAGCGACAUGUGAUGUAGACACUGUACACUGCACUCUUUGAUUAUGAAAACACAGGAUGUGACCAUAAAUAAUGGAUAUUUUGGGGUGGGGGGUGGGCGAGGGUUGAAAUGGUGUGUGGCACGAUACUGUUUGCUAUAAUGAUGGUGCUCUCCUGCAGCAGUAUUAACAGAUGCGGAGCGAGUACCGUAUGUGUGAUGCUGUUCGGAAAAUGUUCAUCCUGCCAUUGCCUUAUCUUCAUUAUGGUGGACCGGAUCUGUGCAUAUCUGGAUUUUUUUCUGCUGUACGAGUGACUGUGAAGUUUUAGAAAGAUCGCUGAGUCGGGCUGCUGGGUGGCUCAUCCUGUUAAGGCACUGUUCUAGUGUGAGGACGGGUCUGGUACCAUGGCCUGGUAUUGAAUCUGGACGGUACCGGCGUCGACUGCGGCUGGCAAGCAUCGUCCCAGGAUAGGAGGGUUUCAGUCACAACAUAUCAUUGUACACCGGCAAUCCCGUUCGGUCGAUCGGUUACCUGUAAUUUUGUCUCUUGAAUCACACAUGAAGUGUCUUCCUGCGACUCUCGUCUGUGUGAGCUCGACUUGUGACCUGAAGUGUGAUAAGAAGCGCCAUCAUAUGCUUCUGAGGAGAGAACAUGCUCAUCCGUGAUCCACCAAAUUGUAAUGAAUGCUUCAGAAUGACAACCUCUAGUUCGAUUUUUUUUGUUUGUUUAUGUACUAAGCAGGUGGUCUUACCUUACCAGAGUGA
Anguilla rostrata (American eel) is the source of this 1720-nucleotide long non-coding RNA. RefSeq lists it as uncharacterized. Lineage: Eukaryota; Metazoa; Chordata; Actinopteri; Anguilliformes; Anguillidae. The record is from RefSeq and is a predicted model, not a curated record. The transcript has 6 exons.